RNAcentral lists this ribosomal RNA (548 nucleotides) under uncultured bacterium. RNAcentral describes it as "bacterial SSU rRNA". It matches the Rfam family "Bacterial small subunit ribosomal RNA", at positions 358 to 916 of the family's 1533-position model. The record is from RNAcentral.
GGAAUAUUGCGCAAUGGACGAAAGUCUGACGCAGCGACGCCUCGUGAGGGACGAAGGUCUUCGGAUUGUAAACCUCUUUCAGCAGGGACGAAGCGAAAGUGACGGUACCUGCAGAAGAAGCACCGGCUAACUAUGUGCCAGCAGCCGCGGUAAUACAUAGGGUGCAAGCGUUGUCCGGAUUUAUUGGGCGUAAAGAGUUCGUAGGCGGUUUUUCGCGUCGGAUGUGAAAACUCAGGGCUCAACCCUGAGCCUGCAUUCGAUACGGGAAGACUCGAGGACGGCAGGGGAGACUGGAACUUCUGGUGUAGCGGUGGAAUGCGCAGAUAUCAGAAAGAACACCAAUGGCGAAGGCAGGUCUCUGGGCCGAUCCUGACGCUGAGGAACGAAAGCGUGGGGAGCAAACAGGAUUAGAUACCCUGGUAGUCCACGCCGUAAACUAUGGACGCUAGGUGUGGGGGACGUUCCACGUUCUCUGCGCCGCAGCUAACGCAUUAAGCGUCCCGCCUGGGGAGUACGAUCGCAAGAUUAAAACUCAAAGGAAUUGACGG